Molecule: ribosomal RNA, 466 nt
Filed under: Vreelandella stevensii
Lineage: Bacteria; Pseudomonadati; Pseudomonadota; Gammaproteobacteria; Oceanospirillales; Halomonadaceae
Description: partial 16S ribosomal RNA
Rfam family: Bacterial small subunit ribosomal RNA
Source: RNAcentral
CCUACGGGUGGCAGCAGUGGGGAAUAUUGGACAAUGGGCGAAAGCCUGAUCCAGCCAUGCCGCGUGUGUGAAGAAGGCCUUCGGGUUGUAAAGCACUUUCAGUGGGGAAGAAAGCCUUGGGGCUAAUACCCUCGAGGAAGGACAUCACCCACAGAAGAAGCACCGGCUAACUCCGUGCCAGCAGCCGCGGUAAUACGGGAGGGUGCGAGCGUUAAUCGGAAUUACUGGGCGUAAAGCGCGCGUAGGCGGUCUGAUAAGCCGGUUGUGAAAGCCCCGGGCUCAACCUGGGAACGGCAUCCGGAACUGUCAGGCUAGAGUGCAGGAGAGGAAGGUAGAAUUCCCGGUGUAGCGGUGAAAUGCGUAGAGAUCGGGAGGAAUACCAGUGGCGAAGGCGGCCUUCUGGACUGACACUGACGCUGAGGUGCGAAAGCGUGGGUAGCAAACAGGAUUAGAUACCCCGGUAGUC